AUGACAUUUUAAUUUUUAUUAAUUUUCAUGAAGAUGUGUGCUUGGUCCAUUAUUUAUAGUUUUUCCUCUCGACAUUUAAAUCUCAACAAAUUUUUCUGAAGAAUCCCGCCAAAGCAUCCGUAAGUAGAAUUUAUUUGCGUUUUCACAAGGAAAAUAAACAAACAAAAUGCAAAUAAAAAUCAAGAAAAAUUACCGUAAUGAAUCCAUGUAAAUAUAUGAACAUAUCCAAUGAAUAAGCCCCGAAAGACAAUUGCAUGACAAACUUUAUGGUUUGUGGCACUUGGGUCCGCCUAUUUUCGCCUGAAGACAUUUAACCAUUUCCCACUUUUCUCUCCCGUUUCCUCACUCUAUGACAGCAGCUGGAAAA
Molecule: long non-coding RNA, 367 nt
Organism: Drosophila innubila
Lineage: Eukaryota; Metazoa; Arthropoda; Insecta; Diptera; Drosophilidae
Exons: 2
Source: RefSeq, a predicted model, not a curated record